This 23-nucleotide non-coding RNA is filed under the name Drosophila melanogaster (fruit fly). Lineage: Eukaryota; Metazoa; Arthropoda; Insecta; Diptera; Drosophilidae. The record is from RNAcentral.
UGCUAAAAGGCCAUUUUCGGGAC